GACGAACGCUGGCGGCGUGCUUAACACAUGCAAGUCGAACGGAAAGGCCUCUUUCGGGGGGUACUCUCGUGUCGAACGCGUGAGUAACACAUGUGUAACCUGCCCUCUACAUUUGGAUAACUUCAGAGAACUGGGGCUAAUACCGGAUAUGAGCUCCUGUUCCACGGGGUGGGUUUUAAAGUUUUCGCGGUUGGGGAUUGACUCGCGGCUUAUCACCCUGUUGGUUGGGUAGUGGCUUACCAAAGCUUUUACGGGUAUCCCGCCUGAGAGGGGGACCGGCCACAUUGGGACUGAGAUACGGCCCAGACUCCUAAGGGAGGGCAGAAUUGGGAAUAAUGCACAAUCGGUCGGAGCCCGAUGACGCCAAGCCGUGUGGGGGAUGACCGCCUUUCGGUUGUAAACCGCCUUUGCUCAUAAACAAGCUUUGUGUGACGGUAGUGGGUAAAGAAGCACCGGCUAACUACGUG
RNAcentral lists this ribosomal RNA (467 nucleotides) under uncultured bacterium. RNAcentral describes it as "partial 16S ribosomal RNA". It matches the Rfam family "Bacterial small subunit ribosomal RNA", at positions 28 to 507 of the family's 1533-position model. The record is from RNAcentral.